GUGCGUUCCACCCCGGCCGAGGUGAAAUUUUCGGUUUGUUUCGCGAAAACAAGGGAAUCAUGGCUGUCUUGGGAAUUGGUAUUUACGACGUUGGAUGGACGGAAGAAAGUGUUUUAUAAAAGUGACUGUAUUAAAGUGUUGGGAGCGUGGCUCUCUCGGAGAAAUAAAUAUAUCACGCUUUCUUACGGAUGGUACGUAUUUUAUGAACGUUUUUUUUUCUUCUUCUUCUUCUUCUUCUUCUUCUUGGUCUCGUACUUCAUACGUCUUUUGAUUUAACUCCUUUUAUGCCCGGGGGCGAGUGCUCGCUAGAUGGGGUUACCGAUGAGUCUAUAAACAGCCAAAUCCUCUCUUUUUUCUUCUCUCUCCUAUACUUUUUCUCCUCUCUCGUUUUUAGUACCGCGAUAUAUUAUUCCUUGAAUUAUGGCAGACUUUCUAGGCAAUUUAGAAGAAAUACGAGGAGAAAUAGGCGAAAGGGAAUAUCUACCAUCGAGGUGGUGGAUAUAAAAGUUCGGAUUAUCGAGUAAACAGCAAGAUAGAUUUAAGAACAGAAUUAUGAAAGUAAAUUUAUCCUAUCGAGCCAAUCUCACCGACGAAAUCUCCGCCAUUUUCCAAACUGCUCGUAGAUGUCCAGCCCAGUGGAUAGCAGAAUUGCUCUUGCGCUCGACAGUUGAACGAUUAUUUAUAAUACAGCUGUAUUCCAGCCCUUCAUCGGACCCUUCUCCAAGUUUCUUGCAGUCGUUAUUAAAGUUUACGCAUUCUCAAAAGGAAUUACCAUUAUCCGCCCCGCUGUUCGGGCCAAACGACCAUUUCCUAAAUCCGUUCACAUUCUAAUGGUAUCAUUAAGGCGCAACGAAAUUAAAAUU
Molecule: long non-coding RNA, 863 nt
Organism: Apis florea (little honeybee)
Lineage: Eukaryota; Metazoa; Arthropoda; Insecta; Hymenoptera; Apidae
Source: RefSeq, a predicted model, not a curated record